AGCGAACGCUGGCGGCAGGCUUAACACAUGCAAGUCGAACGGACACUUCGGUGUCAGUGGCGGACGGGUGAGUAACACGUGGGAACGUGCCCUUAGGUUCGGAACAACACAGGGAAACUUGUGCUAAUACCGGAUGUGCCCUUACGGGGAAAGAUUUAUCGUCUUUGGAGCGGCCCGCGUCUGAUUAGCUAGUUGGUGGGGUAAAGGCUCACCAAGGCUACGAUCAGUAGCUGGUCUGAGAGGAUGGCCAGCCACACUGGGACUGAGACACGGCCCAGACUCCUACGGGAGGCAGCAGUGGGGAAUCUUGCGCAAUGGGCGAAAGCCUGACGCAGCCAUGCCGCGUGGAUGAUGAAGGU
RNAcentral lists this ribosomal RNA (359 nucleotides) under uncultured bacterium. Its description in RNAcentral is "bacterial SSU rRNA". It matches the Rfam family "Bacterial small subunit ribosomal RNA", at positions 29 to 415 of the family's 1533-position model. The record is from RNAcentral.